RNAcentral lists this unclassified non-coding RNA (969 nucleotides) under Hevea brasiliensis (rubber tree). The record is from RNAcentral. Lineage: Eukaryota; Viridiplantae; Streptophyta; Magnoliopsida; Malpighiales; Euphorbiaceae.
CUUGAUAGCACUAUUAUAUUAAGCAUGAUUAGUUAACAUGUGACAGACUUGUCAACAAAAUUGUCACCUAAUACAUGGGCUUUGGCUGUGGGUCACAUGCUUUUGUGAUAGAAAUGGUUUGUUCUGAUAUUUGAUGUGAAUCAAAACCAUGUGCUCACUCACUCAUCACCUGCAACUCACAGCAGGUAUGCAAUGAGCAGCAACCAUGGCAGGCAAGAACCACUAUGUUCUGCAGAAUAGCACUCAGGUUAAGAGGUUGUAGCUUCCUCAAAUACCCAGAAUACAGAAUAGGACAAUCAUGUUUAUUACCACAAUACACCUUUCAACUCAUCGGUAGACAAACAAAUACUAGGUACAUUAUAUUGUAUACUAUAAUUAAUGGAAAAUUAACAUGGAAAUAGAGAAAUUCUCUAACAUAGUACAGCCACUGGAUGUUUUAGGAAGCAAAUAACUCACAUUUUUAAAAGCUGAAAUGACCAAAAUAGUAUACACCCUACAGCAGCAGCUAAGUUCACUAAGGUUUCAGGUGCUGCAGAGGAGGCUGGAAAUGACACUAGUGGUGAAAAUGCAGAAUCAGGGCCUGGUGCAGUCAACUCAUCUGGAUUAGGUGGGCUUUGGGUGGAGGGAAUGGUAGGCAAAGAUGAUACGGUUGGAGAAGGCAACACACCACCAGGAGAAGGCAGAAGAGGAGCAAUAUCUGGUGACAACUCCUGGAAAGGAGACAGAGGUGGAGAGUUUUGUAGGGAUGCUGGAGAAGUUGGGAUAGUUGAAUCUUGUGAAUUGAGCGGAGUAGAUGAAGAAAGAAAUGGGAAGAUGAUUAAAGAUAAAAUGAAUGAUAAGAGAAACCAAAAGGAGGCCAUUCUAAUGAUGAAGGAAAUCAAUGCCAUACUUAAUGGAGAGAGUAAAAUAUAGUAGUGAGAGAGUGUAAUGAAAGUUUUUAUUUGAAGAAAUUGUGGGGGCUGUGGACAG